This is a non-coding RNA of Odocoileus virginianus texanus, 1355 nucleotides long. The record is from RefSeq and is a predicted model, not a curated record. Lineage: Eukaryota; Metazoa; Chordata; Mammalia; Artiodactyla; Cervidae.
UACAUGUCUGGUGUCCGCAGUGAGGACCUUCACGUCAAGGUCCGCCGUGGACUUUGGCUCACUCAGGCGGCCCACGCCGUCUCAACCGGCUCUCAGACUCCUGACAGCCGGCGACUGACCCCCGUCCUCUCCCACCGUCCCCUCUCUGCAGAUGACGUGCUGACUAAAGACGCGGGUGAGUGUGUGAUCUGCCUGGAGGAGCUGCUUCAGGGGGACACGAUAGCCAGGCUGCCCUGCCUGUGCAUUUAUCACAAAAGUUGCAUAGACUCGUGGUUUGAAGUGAACAGAUCUUGUCCAGAACACCCUGCGGACUGACCCUGCUGGGCUCGCUUGCUGACUCCUCUCAAUGGGACAGCCAGGGCCCCGUUGCUGAGAGGAGGCUUCGGACACUGGGGCAGAGCUGAGCUGGGGACAGCAGUGGGAACAGGGCGCCCUCCUGCACUGACUUCCAGAGAAUGGUCCCCCUUUCUCCCCGAGGACACCAGAUUGGAUGAGAGCCAGUUUGAGAGAAGAAAGAAUCACCCGCUAUCCUUCCCCUCAUCCUCAUCCCAGGAGGGAAAGGGCAUUUUCUUUUUCACCUUUGAAAGGCAUUGUGGGUCUGUCUCUAAAGUGUUUACAAAAAAAAAAAAAAAAUUAUAAAAAAAAGUCUAGUGUCGACUGGUGUGUUCCCUCGUGAUGUUUACAGAUCACUGUCUGCUGCCCGGCCAGAACCCACUCAGUGACAACCGAACAGAGCCGGGUUCUUGCCACUCGAGUGCCGAUGGCGCAGAGCGAGCUCACAGCCCUCCUGUGCCCGGCACCCAGCGGCCUCUCCAUCAACCACUCUGCCUUGGAUUUUUUGUUUGUUUUAUCCCCCCCCCCCAUUUUUCUGGCUUGAUUUUGCACUUUUCUCCCCUGGGGACCCUGAUAUCUUGACUUCGUUGCCAAAAACGAGCCCAUCAGGAUGUUCUCCCCCUCCUUCCCAUUUCUCUUUCCUCUUUCCCUCCUGGUUCUGGUCAGUUCAGAGGAUUUAACAACCACAAGUGUCCUGCAAAAAUGCCUGAACGUUUUUCCUAGACCCCUGUGUAUUUUUUUUCUUUUUUCCAGAAAACUUAGACAGACAAAAGACUAAAAGGAUGUGUACAGCUGCCCCUGUUUUCAGGCAUUCUGUUUGAGAACAUUUUAGCUGUUGAUGUUCAUGUGUGACAUCAGCUCCGGCGAGAUAGGUUUCUGUAUUUAUAUAUUAAAAUCCAAAACAAAAAAAAACCUUAUAAAAUGUUUAAAAAAUGUUCAAAGCUGGGGGAAAAGGCUUUCUUCAUUAGUCAAGGUGUUUUGAUAUGGUAUUAAAAUAAUGUCUAAUAAAAAGAUGCACUGUG